GUGGGUAUAGCUCAGUGGUAGAGUGCAUGCAUGAGGUCCUGGGUUCAAUCCCCAGUACCUCCA
This 63-nucleotide transfer RNA is filed under the name Camelus bactrianus (Bactrian camel). It matches the Rfam family "tRNA". Rfam says of the family: Transfer RNA (tRNA) molecules are approximately 80 nucleotides in length. Their secondary structure includes four short double-helical elements and three loops (D, anti-codon, and T loops). Further hydrogen bonds mediate the characteristic L-shaped molecular structure. tRNAs have two regions of fundamental functional importance: the anti-codon, which is responsible for specific mRNA codon recognition, and the 3' end, to which the tRNAs corresponding amino acid is attached (by aminoacyl-tRNA synthetases). tRNAs cope with the degeneracy of the genetic code in two manners: having more than one tRNA (with a specific anti-codon) for a particular amino acid; and 'wobble' base-pairing, i.e. permitting non-standard base-pairing at the 3rd anti-codon position. RNAcentral also lists the same sequence under 2 other names. Lineage: Eukaryota; Metazoa; Chordata; Mammalia; Artiodactyla; Camelidae. The record is from Rfam by way of RNAcentral.